Non-coding RNA from Dermacentor albipictus, 376 nucleotides. The record is from RefSeq and is a predicted model, not a curated record. NCBI's taxonomy places the organism in Eukaryota, Metazoa, Arthropoda, Arachnida, Ixodida, Ixodidae.
CGCAGGCUCAGAAGUUGAGAGAAUCCAUCCGUGCCACGACCACGUGCCGCGCCACGGAUUCGUACUUCAAGCAGGUGAAGUUUCUCCACGACUCGAUUUCUCCCGCAGAGUGGUGCAUGAGCGGCGGAGGCUUCUUUCGCCUGGACCGGCCACUCAUUGUUUCGAUGAUGUCCGCUCUGAUUACGUACGCGGUCAUUUUGGUGCAAGCCCACCACGAACUCGCGCACCACGAGCCCGCCUUGAACGCUACGUCCUUAAAAUAACUGGAUGGCUUGGUGGUCAUCAUCCGAUUCUGCUGCAAUGAUGCGGUUUAUGUAUCAUCUUCACGUGGUUUAGACGCCAUCACCGAAAAAAACAUUGAAUUACGCACGGGACC